This 254-nucleotide ribosomal RNA is filed under the name uncultured bacterium. RNAcentral describes it as "partial 16S ribosomal RNA". It matches the Rfam family "Bacterial small subunit ribosomal RNA", at positions 524 to 776 of the family's 1533-position model. The record is from RNAcentral.
UACGUAGGGCGCGAGCGUUGUCCGGAAUUACUGGGCGUAAAGGGCGCGUAGGCGGCCAGCACAAGUCAGUUGUGAAAUCUCCGGGCUUAACUCGGAAAGGUCAACUGAUACUGUGCGGCUAGAGUGCAGAAGGGGCAACUGGAAUUCUCGGUGUAGCGGUGAAAUGCGUAGAUAUCGAGAGGAACACCUGCGGCGAAGGCGGGUUGCUGGGCUGACACUGACGCUGAUGCGCGAAAGCCAGGGGAGCGAACGGG